UACAGAGGUUGCAAGCGUUGUUCGGAAUUACUGGGCGUAAAGGGCGCGUAGGCGGUCUUGUCAGUCCCUUGUGAAAUCCCCCGGCUCAACUGGGGAACUGCACGGGAAACAGCAGGGCUUGAGUUCGGGAGAGGGAAGCGGAAUUCCGGGUGUAGCGGUGAAAUGCGUAGAUAUCCGGAGGAACACCGGUGGCGAAGGCGGCUUCCUGGACCGACACUGACGCUGAGGCGCGAAAGCUAGGGGAGCAAACGGG
This 253-nucleotide ribosomal RNA is filed under the name uncultured bacterium. RNAcentral describes it as "partial 16S ribosomal RNA". It matches the Rfam family "Bacterial small subunit ribosomal RNA", at positions 524 to 776 of the family's 1533-position model. The record is from RNAcentral.